Molecule: ribosomal RNA, 253 nt
Filed under: uncultured bacterium
Lineage: Bacteria
Description: partial 16S ribosomal RNA
Rfam family: Archaeal small subunit ribosomal RNA
Source: RNAcentral
UACCCGCACCCCGAGUGGUCGGGACGUUUAUUGGGCCUAAAGCAUCCGUAGCCGGUUCUACAAGUCUUCCGUUAAAUCCAACUGCUUAACAGGUGGGCUGCGGAAGAUACUAUAGAGCUAGGAGGCGGGAGAGGCAAGCGGUACUCGAUGGGUAGGGGUAAAAUCCGUUGAUCCAUUGAAGACCACCAGUGGCGAAGGCGGCUUGCCAGAACGCGCUCGACGGUGAGGGAUGAAAGCUGGGGGAGCAAACCGG